CCUGUUGUUCUGUAUAUCCCUACUGACUACUUGAGCUUAUCUUCCCAACCGGUGGUCCAUCUGUCCAGAAGGGCUGGAAGCGUGUGGAGUUUCUUAACCUCUGGCGCCUUUGCAAGCUUGAGAAGUGCACACCAAGAAAGGUUUUCAAUGAUGUGAGAGGAUCCUUUGAAUCUCUUUCUGUAUCCCAGUGCAGAUGAGGAAACUGAGGAAGAGGGCCCUUUUUGUUAAAGAAUGCUCAGCCCAUCAGCGACAGAGCUGGGGUGAGGUCAUGUGAAAAUUCAUCAACCUACUUUUAAGCCCAGCUCAAUGAGUGCCCACCCCCACCGUGAGGAGACCUGGGCCCACAGCCCCAUCAACCUGGUCCAAAAUCAAGGAUGUGACUGACUGGUGACUGUGAAAUGCUCUCAGAUGUCAUGGUUCCUGGAAUGGCCUUUUCAAACACCUCUUCGUUCUCCGGGUCUCUGGUUCACUCGAAUCCAUUUCGUGACUUGAAGUUCAAAAACCAUAGCGCAUUUUAAGCUGGACGACGUAUCCCGAGGGCCGCCCCUCGGCGUGAGAAAGAAACGGUCAACUGCCUCGCGACGCAACCUUCCGCGGCUUCAGCCCGGCGCUCACUUGCCGCGCGAGCCCGCACUCGGCCCGGCCAGGCGCUCCUCUGCAGCGGCUCGCCCCGCGGGAGGUGCGCAUGGAGGCGGGGGCGCCGGAGCCCGCAUCUCAGCGCCGGCCGGGGCAGAGCAGCCCCAACCUUUAAGUUUUAAAAGGUUGAAAGAUAAACACAUAAACGAGAGCUCAUUGUAGAGUUUCUUUUCCU
Long non-coding RNA from Choloepus didactylus (southern two-toed sloth), 811 nucleotides. RefSeq lists it as uncharacterized. NCBI's taxonomy places the organism in Eukaryota, Metazoa, Chordata, Mammalia, Pilosa, Megalonychidae. The transcript has 3 exons. The record is from RefSeq and is a predicted model, not a curated record.